UCUCAUAUUUAUUUAUUAGAUAGUUUAGUCGUGUUUUAUAUUUAUUGAUGCACGGAUCACUCUGAUAUUUGAUUUGUCGUAGACAUAACUAGCACGAUGAAUGCUUAGACAUUGAGUUCUUGUAUUCAAUCGAUAUAUUUCAUGAUUAAAACUAUUUUAUUUAUUCAAUCCUUAAUCGAGAAUCGUCGAGUUUAUUUGUUGAAAGUAAUAUUGUCAAGGGGGGUUCCGGAUCGCUAGCCAUCUCCAUAUUAUCGAACUUACUCUAUUAAUUAGUUUCUCUAAACUUCUAUAAACCAUCUGAAAUCACAACUGAAAUUAAACUGAUAAUUCAUAAACCGCUCCCUGAGGAAUCGACCUCGGACUCCCGAGUUUUACUGCCUGUGCGAUUCUCCUGCACUUGGGAGAUUAGUUUCGCAAAAGCAUUUUUGCGAACACAUCACAUUGAUUAGAAGAGAGAAACUGAUACCCUCAACUAGUCCCCAAUUACAUAAUGUCAGUACUAAUUAAGAACCUUAUUAGUGCACCAAUGAAAUUUUCCACAUUUAUCACAGGCAUGAAAAAACAAAAAGGGAAUAGGAAAUGCAAUUUGCAACAUCUGGUUCUUAUUGGCUUGGAGACACAAACUCCUAGGCCCAGUAUCCAAAUACCAUCAGCAGAUUUGUGCCAUAAGUGUUCUUGACAUGCUUUAUUCAGAAAAUAAGG
RNAcentral lists this long non-coding RNA (702 nucleotides) under Phoenix dactylifera (date palm). RNAcentral's name for it is "long non-coding RNA (PDAC_LNC019135)". Lineage: Eukaryota; Viridiplantae; Streptophyta; Magnoliopsida; Arecales; Arecaceae. The record is from RNAcentral.